This 256-nucleotide ribosomal RNA is filed under the name uncultured bacterium. RNAcentral's name for it is "partial 16S ribosomal RNA". It matches the Rfam family "Bacterial small subunit ribosomal RNA", at positions 524 to 776 of the family's 1533-position model. The record is from RNAcentral.
UACGGGGGGAGCAAGCGUUGUUCGGAUUUACUGGGCGUAAAGGGCGCGUAGGCGGUCGUGACAAGUCACUUGUGAAAUCUCCGGGCUUAACGUCGGAACGGUCAAGUGAUACUGUCGGACUAGAGUACAGAAGGGGCGAACUGGAAUUCUCGGUGUAGCGGUGAAAUGCGUAGAUAUCGAGAGGAACACCUGCGGCGAAGGCGGGUUGCUGGGCUGAUACUGACGCUGAGGCGCGAAAGCCAGGGGAGCGAACGGG